RNAcentral lists this ribosomal RNA (439 nucleotides) under uncultured bacterium. RNAcentral's name for it is "partial 16S ribosomal RNA". It matches the Rfam family "Bacterial small subunit ribosomal RNA", at positions 339 to 795 of the family's 1533-position model. The record is from RNAcentral.
CUACGGGGGGCAGCAGUGAGGAAUAUUGCACAAUGGGGGGAACCCUGACGCAGCAACGCCGCGUGGAGGAUGACGCAUUUCGGUGUGUAAACUCCUUUUAUAUGUCAAGAAAAUGACGGUAGCAUAUGAAUAAGCACCGGCUAACUCCGUGCCAGCAGCCGCGGUAAUACGGAGGGUGCAAGCGUUACUCGGAAUCACUGGGCGGAAAGGACGCGUAGGCGGGUUGGAAAGUCAGGUGUGAAAUCCUACAGCUUAACUGUAGAACUGCACUUGAAACUUCUAAUCUAGAGUAUGGGAGGGGGAGAUGGAAUUAGUGGUGUAGGGGUAAAAUCCGUAGAUAUCACUAGGAAUACCUAAAGCGAAGGCGAUCUCCUGGAACAUUACUGACGCUAAGGCGUGAAAGCGUGGGGAGCAAACAGGAUUAGAUACCCCAGUAGUC